UACAGAGGUCCCAAGCGUUGUUCGGAUUCAUUGGGCGUAAAGGGUGCGUAGGCGGCGCUGUAAGUCGGGUGUGAAAUUUCGGAGCUUAACUCCGAAACUGCAUUCGAUACUGCGGUGCUUGAGGACUGGAGAGGAGACUGGAAUUCAUGGUGUAGCAGUGAAAUGCGUAGAGAUCAUGAGGAAGACCAGUGGCGAAGGCGGGUCUCUGGACAGUUCCUGACACUGAGGCACGAAGGCCAGGGGAGCAAACGGG
RNAcentral lists this ribosomal RNA (253 nucleotides) under uncultured bacterium. Its description in RNAcentral is "partial 16S ribosomal RNA". It matches the Rfam family "Bacterial small subunit ribosomal RNA", at positions 524 to 776 of the family's 1533-position model. The record is from RNAcentral.